UUACCAAGGACAACAAUGUUUAUCUAGCAUAGGUCAUUGUAUGCCAUAUAGGUUGGUUGUGCUCUUAACCAAGGAGUGUGGAGACACUGGUAUGGCAUACAGGUGAGAUGUAAGGAUACAUCUGCACUGAACGUGACCGACUCCGGAGCUAUUUCUGCUGUCAAGAUUUGCUCCGAUGGAAUAUGGGUAUAAAUGUCCCUCCGACCUGAGACCGCCACGGUGACUUGCAAGCAACUCACUGUACUUAGGCACUGGACUACCUGAAUUUCUAAUUCAGUGACGGAAGGCUGCUGGGUGUAGUCAAGUCCUUGACUUGUCGGUGCGUGUGUCAAGAUGGGAUUGACCACUCCAGUUUAGGAGCUAUGUACAGUCGUGUUUCAAUUUAGCAAAAUCUUGACCAGGGUAGUCCUUGUGAGGAGUCACAGGACUGUUUGAGUUGAGCACGAUUCGGAUGAUCUGAUCAGGGUUGACAGUUUAGCCCUGAGUCGUCCUAAACAUAGGGGUCAAAAGGAUGAAUUAUACAGUAACCAUAUUCAUGUAGAUUCUGAGUGUUGCGAUU
This 559-nucleotide long non-coding RNA is filed under the name Elaeis guineensis (African oil palm). RNAcentral's name for it is "long non-coding RNA (EGUI_LNC080009)". The record is from RNAcentral. Lineage: Eukaryota; Viridiplantae; Streptophyta; Magnoliopsida; Arecales; Arecaceae.